GUGCCUAUAGCUCAAUAGGCGGAGCGCCUGACUGUGGCUCAGGAGGUUGUGGGUUCAAGCCCCACUAGGCACC
Molecule: transfer RNA, 73 nt
Filed under: Thermoflexales bacterium
Lineage: Bacteria; Bacillati; Chloroflexota; Thermoflexia; Thermoflexales
Description: tRNA-His
Rfam family: tRNA
About the family: Transfer RNA (tRNA) molecules are approximately 80 nucleotides in length. Their secondary structure includes four short double-helical elements and three loops (D, anti-codon, and T loops).
Source: RNAcentral